GAAGAGGCAAAAGGGGGACCGAGGGAGGAGUCUGUGCUUCCCCACCCGCUGCUGGCAGGAGGAAAGAACUGGGCAGGCGCAGGCCCGAGGCCUCGCGAGUCACACGGCAAGCCGCAGAGGGCCUCAGGACGGGCCCGUGCGGCACAGCACACACGUGCGCACACACCCAGGCACACACGCAAGCACACACGCGUGUGAGAAGCUCGGGAACAAGGUGAGGAGGUGCCGCCUGGGACGCAGGGCCCGUUCCCGUGCCCUCUGCCUACUCAGAGGGCCUGGGGCUGUCACUCAGGGUGGCCCUAGCUCCCUCACCUGGCCAGCUGGCCCACCGCCUCCCCCGCUGCCCCCCCUCGGGGCCCGCAGUUCUCACCUGGUCUGACUCCAGCAAGCACAGGCAGCGGGUGGUGAGUGAAAGCCAUGCGCGGGGAGCUGCCCUGAGAGGAGAGGGCACUGCAGAAGUCCAGCUUUCCUGACUUCUUUAGAGAAGCCGGGCCUGGGGGGAGGAAUCGGCAACACAGGGCAGGUUUAGCUGGGCUGGGGUGAGAGCAAGGGAGGGCGGGAAGCCAGCAGCUAGCUCCUUCUCUUCUCAGGCCCCCUCCCGGCUGCCCCUGCCCCACCACACCCCUUCCUGCCUCCUUUGCCCACUUCCAGCUCCGACUGGCCAGCUACUUCUGAAGGGAGAGGAAAAGGACAGCCCUUGGGUGUGCUGGGGAGGGGACAAACCCGAGGGCCCGUCUUGCUCUCUGCCGGGCGGAUAACUGAGAGCGGGAGCCUGUGUCUGGGCCGCGGGAAAGCAGGAGCGCCUCCCCGCCCUUCUGCCUCGCUUUCCCCCAGUUCCUACCCCUGCCCAUCCACGUGGCCCAUCUCUGUAGACGCACUUCUGGAAAACGCCAGGCAAAGGGACAUCGGGUCAGACCCUUCUCUUCCGGCUUCGAGACCAAAGCCCCAGGCCUGACCACAGCAGACAUGCCCCACGUACAACGCCCACACAUGGGUCGCACUCUCUGGCCCCGAGAAACCCACACCUCGAGGACACACACAGGCUCUGCUCCUCUCUGUGAUGCUGGGCCCGUCAGACCAGUGGUUCUCAACUCAGGAUGAUUCUGGUCUCCUCUCCCCCUAUGCCAGAGGAUGUUCAGCAAUGUCCAGACGUUUCUGGUCAUUAUACUUUGGGGAGGACGGGGGAGUUGCUACUGGCUGGCGGCUGGAGGCCAGAGCUCUGCUCAGUGACCUGCAGUGCAUAGGAUGGCCCCGCCACGGAGAAUGACGUGGCCCCAAAUGUCAACAGUGCCCGGAUUGAGAAACUGCUUUAAACCAUGAGGACCGUAGGAGCUAGGGCAACCCCUCCAGAGAAACAGCAGGAGACGGAGACCAAGGAGGCUCGAAGUCUGGGGCCUCUGCCUUCCUUCCACCACACCUGUGGGCUCUGCGGCCGAGUCAGCCGCAGCCCAGCUCCUCACCUCCACUCCCUCCUUUGGCCCGGUCCGCCCUCCUCUGGGAGAUCAGGAGGUAGCGCCUCCCACAGCAGGGGAAGCAGAGGGAGGCUCGCCAGGUAAACCGAGAGGGAAAAAGAGGCGCCAGCCGCCCCGCUCGGGGUUGGCCCUGCAGCACCCAUACCUGCAU
Molecule: long non-coding RNA, 1623 nt
Organism: Acinonyx jubatus (cheetah)
Lineage: Eukaryota; Metazoa; Chordata; Mammalia; Carnivora; Felidae
Exons: 3
Source: RefSeq, a predicted model, not a curated record